AUGACGUUCCUCCCACCAAAUCUCAGAGACUUUGAUUUCAUCCCAUCCAUAGGCACCUCUGGAGGUAUUCUAACUGCUUGGGACGGUAAUCUCUGGACUUGCUCCUCGAUAUCUAAAAAUCAGUUCUUCAUCACUUGCUCCUUUGAAUCCAAGGUGGAUGACCUCUCAUUUACUUUAACUAAUGUGUACGGCCCUUGCGACCCGUCUGAAAAACGUGCUUUCUUAGACUUGCUCAUAAGUCUCCCUUCCACAAUUACAGGCCCUUGGGCUAUCAUUGGCGACUUCAACCUCAUCCUCCGCCGCUCAGAUAAAUCUUCCCCAAACUUCAACUCGAUUGAGGCCAUGCUUUUCUCUGACGCUAUCCAAUCCAUGAGACUUCAAGACCUCCCCCUCCUCGACCGGCGCUAUACUUGGUCCAACCAACAAGACGCUCCCAUCCUCGUACGUUUAGACCGGGCUCUAGUCAACAUGGCCUAGGCUCAGCACUUCCCAGAUAGCGCUCUCACCUCCUCCACUCGAUCCACGUCAGACCACGUCCCAAUCCAACUGUCG
RNAcentral lists this ribosomal RNA (552 nucleotides) under Triticum aestivum (bread wheat). RNAcentral describes it as "partial small subunit ribosomal RNA". Lineage: Eukaryota; Viridiplantae; Streptophyta; Magnoliopsida; Poales; Poaceae. The record is from RNAcentral.